AGAUUCACGAAACAAGUGGAAAACUCGAGAAAUAAAACUGCUUUUAAUGAAGACUGUGAGAAAGUUAAACUUUAUAAACCGCGUUAGGAGACGAGAUGAUGAGAGACUGAAUCUUUACCUCAGAGGAACAUUUAUUUCUUUGUUCUUUAAUGUAAAUUUCUCCUCGACCGUUCUCCAGACGUGGACAACUAUUCUGAAGACGACGAUGACAGUUAUUCUUCAGAGCAGGAGGUCAGUGAUGAUGCCGUUCAGGGUCAGUGGAUAUGAACAGAAGUUCAGAUGCGUCUAUAGCACUUCACUCUACAGCUGUUGAGCAGACGGCUGGGGGGAUGUCACAUGUGACGGGGAUGUGAACGCAGACAAAUCAGCAGCAAACAUCGGCAAACUCUGCAAGGCCGAGUCUCAGACUCUCAUGUCGUGGAGACGCUGUGUCUUUCGUUGCAAAAAGAAAGACCCUUUGUUUGCCCAGCCAAAAUGACACAACUGAAAAGGAAUGGUUCAAUUUUAUUUACAACACUGUUCAAGUUUGUGUAGCUCAUUUCCAGACGGCUGCUUCACGAACGCUUUGGUUAAAAGUGGGGCUAUUCCAACCAUUAAAACUUUACAAGGACAGUCUGGAGCUUCCGAUUUGCAGCCUGUAAGUAUAUUUUCAUUGUAAAACACUUUGUUACGGACUAACGUGAGUUGACUUUGUCGUAUGUUUGUGAUCUGCAAAUGCAGACAUGCGCGCAACGUGAAAAAAGACAACAUGAGUCCUAAUAAUGAGUAAUAAUGUUCCACUAGAGGCAACAAAUGUUGUGUUUAUAUUGUCUUUUAUUAAGUAUUUAUUUAGGGUUUAGGGUUUAUUGUCUUUGUUGAGUUGCGAUGAGACGUGGCCUAACACUGGUUGAUCAAGAAGGGCAAAAGCGCUCGCGUAAUUUUAUUAUGUUGCUCGCGUUGUUUUAUAAUGUAACCAUUCCCUGCUGUAGUGUGAGCUUUUUAACAUCGUAUAUAAAACAGGGUGUCCGCGGAUCCUUAAAAUGUCUUAAAAAGUCUUAAAUUCCAUAAUGUCAAAACAAGGCAUUAAUUAGCAUUACAGUUUUUCUCAAAUGCUUUGGCUCAUUUCUUGAAACAGAAACUACAUUCUCAAAAUUCUAAGAUCAUUUGGCAAAACAGUCUUACAGUUCAGCACAACACUAUAGCUCACUUGCAAAAGCUAAUAUCUCUCCCAAAACUUUUCACUCAUGCCUCAAAACUUAAUUCCUUUCCCAUAUAAAGAGUCAUUGCCACGAAAAUGACAAAGAUCCUUCUCAAAUGCUUUGGCUCAUUUCUUGAAACAGACCGGACGUUCUCAACACUCUUGGUGCUUUUGCCAAAAUAACGUGGAUGGUUCGGCACAACACCAUGGUUCACCUGCAAAAACUCAUACCUCUCUCAUGUGUCAAAACUAAAUUUCCUUCUCUUUUAAACAGUCAGUGCCCCCAAAAUGGUUCUCCCCUUUGGCAUUGUGUAAGCACUAUAUCAAAAAUUCAAAAUAUUUAGAUGUUUUGUCACUAUGGCAGAGGACCAUUUAAACAUCCCUCAUGUCCACCUUUCAGUCUUGGCCCAUUCCUUCAUUGACAAUAGUUACUGUUCUGUUUUUUGUCUAGCUAACAGAAUGCAAUUGUGUAUAAAACUGAAAAAAAGA
Triplophysa dalaica is the source of this 1666-nucleotide long non-coding RNA. RefSeq lists it as uncharacterized. NCBI's taxonomy places the organism in Eukaryota, Metazoa, Chordata, Actinopteri, Cypriniformes, Nemacheilidae. The transcript is spliced from 4 exons. The record is from RefSeq and is a predicted model, not a curated record.